UGACUGGAUCCAUCAGUUGGGCAC
Molecule: non-coding RNA, 24 nt
Filed under: Mus musculus (house mouse)
Lineage: Eukaryota; Metazoa; Chordata; Mammalia; Rodentia; Muridae
Source: RNAcentral